UCAAGCGUUUAAGGGCGUGUAGUGGAUGCCUUGGCACUGAAAGCCGAUGAAGGACGUGAUAUACUGCGAUAAGUUUCGGGGAGCUGUAUGUAAGUUUUGAUCCGAAAAUUUCCGAAUGGGGAAACCCACCACUUUAUGUGGUACUUUAAACUGAAUACAUAGGUUUAAAGAGACAACCUGGAGAACUGAAACAUCUAAGUAACCAGAGGAAAAGAAAUCAAUUGAGAUUCCGUUAGUAGUGGCGAGCGAACGCGGACUAGGCCAGUAGUUUUGUUAAAAAAAUUUGAAUAGUUUGGAAAUGCUAACCAUAGAGGGUGAUAGUCCCGUAUGAGUAAUGUUUAACAAAAUUCUUGAGUAAAGCGGGACACGUGAAAUCCUGCUCGAAUAUAGGGGGACCACCCUCUAAGCCUAAAUACUCUUCAGUGACCGAUAGUGAACUAGUACCGUGAGGGAAAGGUGAAAAGAACCCCUAUUAGGGGAGUGAAAUAGAACCUGAAACUGCAUGCCUACAAUCAGUCGAAGCUCUUUUUAGAGUGACGGCGUACCUUUUGUAUAAUGGGUCAGUGACUUAAUUUAUUAAGCAAGCUUAAGCCAUCUAGGUGUAGGCGCAGCGAAAGCAAGUCUUAAUAGGGCGAUUAGUUUAAUGAAUUAGACCCGAAAACGAAUGAGCUUACCAUGAGCAGGUUGAAAGCAAGGUAACACUUGCCGGAGGACCGAACCAGUUGACGUUGAAAAGUCUUUGGAUGACUUGUGGUAAGGGGUGAAAGGCCAACCAAAUUCGUAGAUAGCUGGUUUUCCGCGAAAACUAUUUAGGUAGUGCGUUGAAUAAAUAGAUGUUUAGAGGUAGAGCACUAAAUGGGCUAGGGGGAAGAGAUUCUUACCAAACCUAAUAAAACUCCGAAUGCUAAACAUUGUUCUUCAGCAGACAGACUGUGGGUGCUAAGGUCCAUGGUCGAGAGGGAAAGAGCCCAGACCACCAGAUAAGGUCCCCAAAUUAUGAUUAAGUGUGAAAGGAUGUGGAAAUUCCUUAACAGCCGGGAGGUUGGUUUAGAAGCAGCCAUCCUUUAAAGAUAGCGUAACAGCUCACCGGUCUAAUAGAGUUUCUGCGCCGAAGAUGUAACGGGGCUAAAAUCAUAUACCGAAUCUGUGGGUUUAUAAAAUUUUCGAAUUUUAUAAGCGGUAGCGGAACGUUCUGUAAGCCUGUGAAGGGAUACCCGUGAGGGAUCCUGGAGGUAUCAGAAGUGCGAAUGCUGACAUAAGUAACGAUAAAAGAAGUGAAAAACUUCUUCGCCGAAAAUCCAAGGGUUUCUGCGCAAGGUUAAUCCGCGCAGAGUUAGUCGGCACCUAAGGCGAGGGCGAAAGCCGUAGUCGAUGGAAAUAAGGUUAAUAUUCCUUAACCAGAUGGUAGUGACGGAUCUUGUAAGUUGUGUACUCUUAAUGGAUUGAGUAUGCCGCGAAAAGGUUCCAAGAAAUAGCUCCAUCAUUAGACCGUACCCUAAACCGACACAGGUGGAUUAAUAGAGUAUAUUUAGGCGCUUGAGAGAAUGAUGUUGAAGGAACUCGGCAAAAUGCUUCCGUAACUUCGGGAUAAGGAAGACCUGUUUUUAGGCAACUAGAGAUGGGUGGCACAAGCCAGGGAGAAGCGACUGUUUAUCAAAAACACAGGGCUCUGCUAACACGUAAGUGGAUGUAUAGGGUCUGACGCCUGCCCGGUGCUGGAAGGUUAAUGCGGUUGGUGCAAGCUAACUUCUGAAGCCCCAGUAAACGGCGGCCGUAACUAUAACGGUCCUAAGGUAGCGAAAUUCCUUGUCGGGU
This 1815-nucleotide ribosomal RNA is filed under the name marine metagenome. RNAcentral's name for it is "bacterial LSU rRNA". It matches the Rfam family "Bacterial large subunit ribosomal RNA", at positions 1 to 1977 of the family's 2925-position model. The record is from RNAcentral.